CGCAAUAAUAAAUGAAUGCCAUUAUUUCUGAAUUUACAGUAGUAUGUUUUUUUCUUGUAAGAAUUUGGUAAGGAAAAAAUUCCAGCAAUGAUGAACACAUUUGAAGCUUAAUGACCUUGCACUAGAACAGAAGUCUACACAUUGACCUCUUUCUACACAUUCCUUACAAAAUUGGUAUUUGAGUGUGUGUGUUACACACACAAUGAUAAAAAAUGAUAAUAGUGAGUUGUAGAUUCAAUGAUUCCUUGGGAGUAUGUAGAAAUUGAGGUCUGUCUGGAUUCAAUGUUUUGUAGUGCAGGUAUGAUAUGCUUAUGGUUGGUUUCUCUGAGCAUGGGAAAAAGAAAAAUAUUAAAGGGGCAAUCAAAAAAAAUUUAAAAUGGCAAA
RNAcentral lists this long non-coding RNA (384 nucleotides) under Mytilus galloprovincialis (Mediterranean mussel). Lineage: Eukaryota; Metazoa; Mollusca; Bivalvia; Mytilida; Mytilidae. The record is from RNAcentral.